AUGGGGCCCCCAGCCAGGAUGUGGGUGGUGGAAUAAGUGCUCUUGGAGGGAGCCGUGUUCUUCUGGGAACAGAAUCAGCACACUAGCUGAGCAACAAAUGCAGAAGUCUUGAAUGAAGUUAGACAAGAAGAUAAAUUGGACGUGAUUUUUCCAAUGCAUAAAGGAAUGAUGGCAAGUGGUGAAGACAGGCAGAACCACCAGAUUAGAAAGAACAUAAAUCACUGAAACCUUGAGGAGGAAAAUUGCCUGCAGGACUUCACAUGAGUGUGACUAAGCACUAAACUUCCACUAUGGCUUCAGAAGAACUAAAAAUAACUGGGUGAAAAAUCUGAAAGGCAAAGCUGCUCUAUCUGCCAGCAUUCUAAGGAGACAGGAUCCAGCUCAAUCAGAAGAGAGUGUAUCUCUGCCCUUCUGGAUGAUUAAAGCAAACUGGCAUCUUGUAUCAGUUUGGGAGCUAGAGCCCCUGGAUUGUCGGAUGCUCAUAGUUAAUAGACUUACAUUUUUCUUCUUCAUCCAUUAACAUUAUUCCUGUGAACACCUAUGCUUCUGUGUAAAAAUGAAACUGCCCUUAAAUUAUGCUUGGUCUUCACUUUCUGUAUCUAAAGUAAAUAAUAAUAAUAAACUAGUAAAUUU
Long non-coding RNA from Bos taurus (domestic cattle), 633 nucleotides. The record is from Ensembl. Lineage: Eukaryota; Metazoa; Chordata; Mammalia; Artiodactyla; Bovidae.